GGGUUGUGAGGUUAAGCGACUAAGCGUACACGGUGGAUGCCCUGGCAGUCAGAGGCGAUGAAGGACGUGCUAAUCUGCGAUAAGCGUCGGUGAGGUGAUAUGAACCGUUAUAACCGGCGAUUUCCGAAUGGGGAAACCCAGUGUGUUUCGACACACUAUCAUUAACUGAAUCCAUAGGUUAAUGAGGCGAACCGGGGGAACUGAAACAUCUAAGUACCCCGAGGAAAAGAAAUCAACCGAGAUUCCCCCAGUAGCGGCGAGCGAACGGGGAGGAGCCCAGAGCCUGAAUCAGUGUGUGUGUUAGUGGAAGCGUCUGGAAAGGCGCGCGAUACAGGGUGACAGCCCCGUACACAAAAAUGCACAUAUUGUGAGCUCGAUGAGUAGGGCGGGACACGUGGUAUCCUGUCUGAAUAUGGGGGGACCAUCCUCCAAGGCUAAAUACUCCUGACUGACCGAUAGUGAACCAGUACCGUGAGGGAAAGGCGAAAAGAACCCCGGCGAGGGGAGUGAAAAAGAACCUGAAACCGUGUACGUACAAGCAGUGGGAGCCUCUUAAUGGGGUGACUGCGUACCUUUUGUAUAAUGGGUCAGCGACUUAUAUUCUGUAGCAAGGUUAACCGAAUAGGGGAGCCGAAGGGAAACCGAGUCUUAACUGGGCGUUAAGUUGCAGGGUAUAGACCCGAAACCCGGUGAUCUAGCCAUGGGCAGGUUGAAGGUUGGGUAACACUAACUGGAGGACCGAACCGACUAAUGUUGAAAAAUUAGCGGAUGACUUGUGGCUGGGGGUGAAAGGCCAAUCAAACCGGGAGAUAGCUGGUUCUCCCCGAAAGCUAUUUAGGUAGCGCCUCGUGAAUUCAUCUCCGGGGGUAGAGCACUGUUUCGGCAAGGGGGUCAUCCCGACUUACCAACCCGAUGCAAACUGCGAAUACCGGAGAAUGUUAUCACGGGAGACACACGGCGGGUGCUAACGUCCGUCGUGAAGAGGGAAACAACCCAGACCGCCAGCUAAGGUCCCAAAGUCAUGGUUAAGUGGGAAACGAUGUGGGAAGGCCCAGACAGCCAGGAUGUUGGCUUAGAAGCAGCCAUCAUUUAAAGAAAGCGUAAUAGCUCACUGGUCGAGUCGGCCUGCGCGGAAGAUGUAACGGGGCUAAACCAUGCACCGAAGCUGCGGCAGCGACACUAUGUGUUGUUGGGUAGGGGAGCGUUCUGUAAGCCUGUGAAGGUGUACNNNNNNNNNNNNNNNNNNNNNNNNNNNNNNNNNNNNNNNNNNNNNNNNNNNNNNNNNNNNNNNNNNNNNNNNNNNNNNNNNNNNNNNNNNNNAGGUAUGCUGGAGGUAUCAGAAGUGCGAAUGCUGACAUAAGUAACGAUAAAGCGGGUGAAAAGCCCGCUCGCCGGAAGACCAAGGGUUCCUGUCCAACGUUAAUCGGGGCAGGGUGAGUCGACCCCUAAGGCGAGGCCGAAAGGCGUAGUCGAUGGGAAACAGGUUAAUAUUCCUGUACUUGGUGUUACUGCGAAGGGGGGACGGAGAAGGCUAUGUUGGCCGGGCGACGGUUGUCCCGGUUUAAGCGUGUAGGCUGGUUUUCCAGGCAAAUCCGGAAAAUCAAGGCUGAGGCGUGAUGACGAGGCACUACGGUGCUGAAGCGACAAAUGCCCUGCUUCCAGGAAAAGCCUCUAAGCAUCAGGUAACAUCAAAUCGUACCCCAAACCGACACAGGUGGUCAGGUAGAGAAUACCAAGGCGCUUGAGAGAACUCGGGUGAAGGAACUAGGCAAAAUGGUGCCGUAACUUCGGGAGAAGGCACGCUGAUAUGUAGGUGAAGCGACUUGCUCGUGGAGCUGAAAUCAGUCGAAGAUACCAGCUGGCUGCAACUGUUUAUUAAAAACACAGCACUGUGCAAACACGAAAGUGGACGUAUACGGUGUGACGCCUGCCCGGUGCCGGAAGGUUAAUUGAUGGGGUUAGCGGUAACGCGAAGCUCUUGAUCGAAGCCCCGGUAAACGGCGGCCGUAACUAUAACGGUCCUAAGGUAGCGAAAUUCCUUGUCGGGUAAGUUCCGACCUGCACGAAUGGCGUAAUGAUGGCCAGGCUGUCUCCACCCGAGACUCAGUGAAAUUGAACUCGCUGUGAAGAUGCAGUGUACCCGCGGCAAGACGGAAAGACCCCGUGAACCUUUACUAUAGCUUGACACUGAACAUUGAGCCUUGAUGUGUAGGAUAGGUGGGAGGCUUUGAAGUGUGGACGCCAGUCUGCAUGGAGCCGACCUUGAAAUACCACCCUUUAAUGUUUGAUGUUCUAACGUGGGCCCCUUACCGGGGUUGCGGACAGUGUCUGGUGGGUAGUUUGACUGGGGCGGUCUCCUCCUAAAGAGUAACGGAGGAGCACGAAGGUUGGCUAAUCCUGGUCGGACAUCAGGAGGUUAGUGCAAUGGCAUAAGCCAGCUUGACUGCGAGCGUGACGGCGCGAGCAGGUGCGAAAGCAGGUCAUAGUGAUCCGGUGGUUCUGAAUGGAAGGGCCAUCGCUCAACGGAUAAAAGGUACUCCGGGGAUAACAGGCUGAUACCGCCCAAGAGUUCAUAUCGACGGCGGUGUUUGGCACCUCGAUGUCGGCUCAUCACAUCCUGGGGCUGAAGUAGGUCCCAAGGGUAUGGCUGUUCGCCAUUUAAAGUGGUACGCGAGCUGGGUUUAGAACGUCGUGAGACAGUUCGGUCCCUAUCUGCCGUGGGCGCUGGAGAACUGAGGGGGGCUGCUCCUAGUACGAGAGGACCGGAGUGGACGCAUCACUGGUGUUCGGGUUGUCAUGCCAAUGGCACUGCCCGGUAGCUAAAUGCGGAAGAGAUAAGUGCUGAAAGCAUCUAAGCACGAAACUUGCCCCGAGAUGAGUUCUCCCUGACUCCUUGAGAGUCCUGAAGGAACGUUGAAGACGACGACGUUGAUAGGCCGGGUGUGUAAGCGCAGCGAUGCGUUGAGCUAACCGGUACUAAUGAACCGUGAGGCUUAACCUUACAACGCCGAAG
Molecule: ribosomal RNA, 3013 nt
Filed under: Escherichia coli
Lineage: Bacteria; Pseudomonadati; Pseudomonadota; Gammaproteobacteria; Enterobacterales; Enterobacteriaceae
Description: 23S ribosomal RNA
Rfam family: Bacterial large subunit ribosomal RNA
Source: RNAcentral